This 612-nucleotide ribosomal RNA is filed under the name uncultured bacterium. RNAcentral describes it as "bacterial SSU rRNA". The stretch from base 1 to 519 matches the Rfam family "Bacterial small subunit ribosomal RNA", at positions 338 to 873 of the family's 1533-position model. The record is from RNAcentral.
CCUACGGGAGGCAGCAGUGGGGAAUAUUGGACAAUGGGCGAAAGCCUGAUCCAGCAAUGCCGCGUGAGUGAAGAAGGCCUUCGGGUUGUAAAGCUCUUUUACCCGGGAAGAUAAUGACUGUACCGGGAGAAUAAGCUCCGGCUAACUCCGUGCCAGCAGCCGCGGUAAUACGGAGGGAGCUAGCGUUGUUCGGAAUUACUGGGCGUAAAGCGUACGUAGGCGGCUUUGUAAGUCAGAGGUGAAAGCCCACGACUCAAUCGUGGAACUGCCUUUGAGACUGCUUCGCUUGAAGAUGGGAGAGGUUAGUGGAAUUCCGAGUGUAGAGGUGAAAUUCGUAGAUAUUCGGAAGAACACCAGUGGCGAAGGCGGCUAACUGGACCAUUCUUGACGCUGAGGUACGAAAGCGUGGGGAGCAAACAGGAUUAGAUACCCUGGUAGUCCACGCCGUAAACGAUGAUAACUAGCUGUCGGGGCUCUUGGAGCUUCGGUGGCGCAGCUACGACAUUAAGUUAUUCCGUCCGUCGGGUAGGUACGGUCCGGCGAACGGUUAAACGUUAAACGGUAAAGUUAGUACGGACGUGAGACGUGCGACGACGACGACGAGGGAGUAGG